RNAcentral lists this transfer RNA (75 nucleotides) under Lentibacillus halodurans. RNAcentral describes it as "tRNA_Asn_GTT". It matches the Rfam family "tRNA". From Rfam's summary of the family: Transfer RNA (tRNA) molecules are approximately 80 nucleotides in length. Their secondary structure includes four short double-helical elements and three loops (D, anti-codon, and T loops). Further hydrogen bonds mediate the characteristic L-shaped molecular structure. tRNAs have two regions of fundamental functional importance: the anti-codon, which is responsible for specific mRNA codon recognition, and the 3' end, to which the tRNAs corresponding amino acid is attached (by aminoacyl-tRNA synthetases). tRNAs cope with the degeneracy of the genetic code in two manners: having more than one tRNA (with a specific anti-codon) for a particular amino acid; and 'wobble' base-pairing, i.e. permitting non-standard base-pairing at the 3rd anti-codon position. Lineage: Bacteria; Bacillati; Bacillota; Bacilli; Caryophanales; Bacillaceae. The record is from RNAcentral.
UCCACAGUAGCUCAGUGGUAGAGCAAUCGGCUGUUAACCGAUCAGUCGCAGGUUCGAGUCCUGCCUGUGGAGCCA